Non-coding RNA from Meleagris gallopavo (turkey), 1416 nucleotides. The record is from RefSeq and is a predicted model, not a curated record. Lineage: Eukaryota; Metazoa; Chordata; Aves; Galliformes; Phasianidae.
ACACAAAACAAGGACUGUUUUUACAGAGGAGAACACAUACAUCUUUGUAGCAGCUGCUCCUGGAGAACCAGGGAGCUGGCAGGGCUCAAAGUGAGGAAAGAAAACGGAGAAUGAGGAGCUAGGAAAAAGUCCAGAAGUUAGCUGCCAAGCUGCAGAGAGAGGAAAAAAAAUUACCAGGAAAAAAAACCAUGAAAGUGACCUUUUACAUAAAAGACAGCUCUGGACAAGAAAGGAAGGAAGAAGGAACAAUAGAGCCCAAGAGACAGAUGAACAAGAUCAGAGCUGCAAGGAUGAUUUGAGGGAGCUAAAGGGAGGAAGAAGUGGCAAAUAAAACCACCACUGUGGCCUAACCUGUGAAGAAAACCACUCAUAUACAGAAAGAAAACCAAGCUGAAUGCAGUUCUCUGUGAAAAGCCACCCCUCCCUCAAAAGCCCACAGAAGCUUUUGCCUCCCCCAACAAAGUAAUGAAAAUUCUGGACAUGACAUAGACAGUUUGCAUGCCAUUGUUUAGCUUAAAACAUUCAAGAGAUUCAGCUUCCAGAAGGCUAUAGUUAUAAACUCAAGGCAGACAUUAAGUGUCCCUGAUGCUUGGAGGCAUUUCAGCUGCUUUUUCCCUUAAUGAAGAGGAAUUGCUUAGCAUGCUCUGGGAGAAACAUGUAUUUUUUUAACAUUGCACAUGACUGUUCUUCACUCAUUCAGGUUACAAACCAGCAUAUUGCUCAAACUGCAGGGGCAUUUCAGGAACUCUGUUCUCAGUCCAUUUGUACAAGCUGUCCAGUCAUACGCAAAUCAUACAGUUCAAGUGUUGCCUAUGAGCUGCUAUGAAACACGCGGCUCCUCUGUCUCUCUGCAAAAGGCAAAGAAAAAGCAGCAGACUCCUGGGCUUUGAAACUGUUAGGAAUCAUAAUCCUGUGAUGCAGUUAGCAGCUGCAGAGUUAACCCACUGCAGGAUCUCCAAAGGAGACUCACAGGACAGAUAGCACAGAUAAAGGAUCUUCAAAGCUAAAGGGCUGUGGGUUUCAUUCUGUGACUUUCCAUAAGCAUUCAGCUCAUUCCUUCCUUUGAGCUGACCAAAAUAUAAAGUGCAAACAUCUUAAGCAAAAUUGCAAGGUAAUUAACCAUAUGGAAGCUCCAGCCCUAACGUGCAGUUGAAUCACUAGACCUGUUAAUACCUUUCCACACCACUAUUUGGCUUUCAAGAGGUUUCUAUGCAUCCACUUGUUCCUACCACUGGCUCACAGGGUACAAACUGUGGAUUUAAGGUUGAAAUUAAAUAAUUAUCAAAACGUAGAGACAUUUGUUUGGUUGUUUUGUUUCAUUUCAGAGCAAAAAGCACUGAAGAUGGACUCUAGUAAUGAUUCGUUUUCUUUCUCUACUCUCUUUCUUUCUCAACUAAUCCUAUGCCAUCUUCAUGG